RNAcentral lists this long non-coding RNA (1297 nucleotides) under Felis catus (domestic cat). RNAcentral's name for it is "lncRNA (ENSFCAG00000043922.2)". Lineage: Eukaryota; Metazoa; Chordata; Mammalia; Carnivora; Felidae. The record is from RNAcentral.
GUAUUUGCUGAGCACCUGGUAUGUUCAGGAUACCGAUAAAGAAGUGUGUGUGAGAUGGUGUAGAAAGUCAUGAACCUUUAUACGAGACUGUAGAAGUAGCAGGUCAUCUGAUGGCAGGACUGCUAGGGAAGUAAAGGUGAGACGGGGGCCUUCUGGCUGGGGUGGUUAUGAUGGCUUGUGACAAGGGUGAUACUUAAAUUGGAUCAUGAGUAGUAGUGAGAACUUUAAAACGGGAGUUGUGAGAGAGCCAUAGCUUGGGAUAGGCAAAAGAACUGAAGAGCAAAUGUGGAGAGGACAGAUUAAAAUUCCUUAAUCUACAAUACCAGUUUUGAAUGAAUAUGGGUAUGUCGCAUGCCUAAUGAGAAAUUGAAAAUCGGUCUCCCCCAAAACAAAAAUAAAAACAGAAACAAACCCGUGCCAUCCCUUAGAGAUACAAUUGCCCUUAUUUGCACAUUUACAUCUCAUCUUGAAUAUCCUUGCUUUUUUUUUUAUCCUGACUUUUUCCUCAAAGACAGUUUUCAAAACAGAGACUGUCAUAUUUAAUAAACUCUGUCAGAGACAUCCUGAGCCAGGCUACCCAACUGCCACUUUGCUUUAUGUCUUUAAAUGUAUAUGCAAAUUCCAUGACUUUCCUCUCUGUGUGUGUUGACUAUUGUCCCAUACCUCUCAAAAGUAUGAAGAAUGCACGUGUGUCUCCAAAGGCAAACUGGCCACAUGUCAUCCCUGCGAUGGCCAGAGGUGAUGGCCUGGAAGAGCUGUGGCCAGUGAGGAGGGACCAGACUCCUUGGAAGAUGAUGGCCACUGCAGAGUGCACACUCUACUCAGAUCAGGUUGUUGACCUCUUUUUCUUCUUUUCAUGAUGUCCACCCAUUCCUAUGCAUGCCACAUGUAGCGUCACCAACAUACCAUCUCCGGCUUGCUCUCCAGGAAGAAUGAAUACGUGGAAGAUGACGUUUGAUUCUUCCUGCUGGCCACUGACCCUAGAGAGACAUCAUGGACAACAUGGACACUCACUUCAACAUGAGGCUACUGAGACGUGUUAUCAGAUGAGACAACAUGGACUUAAAGACAUAUGUGAGCCUUGUGUUAGCCACCCGGAAGGACCAGCAGCGGGCAAUGUGGAGAUGAGAACUGAGAUUUGGUCUAUGGAAAUCGCAAAAUUAAGAGAAACAGAUGUGACUCCAAGGCCAAGGGUCCUACAAUUGGAAAGAACACCAAUACCAUACUAUGAAAUCAGGCUUUGAGGCCCACAGAAGGCUCAGCCAUUGUGCUGCCAUGCUGACCCUCCCUUCUGAAG